UUGUGAUAGUUUGAGUUAAA
This 20-nucleotide non-coding RNA is filed under the name Rattus norvegicus (Norway rat). Lineage: Eukaryota; Metazoa; Chordata; Mammalia; Rodentia; Muridae. The record is from RNAcentral.